This 253-nucleotide ribosomal RNA is filed under the name uncultured bacterium. RNAcentral's name for it is "partial 16S ribosomal RNA". It matches the Rfam family "Bacterial small subunit ribosomal RNA", at positions 524 to 776 of the family's 1533-position model. The record is from RNAcentral.
UACGAACCGUACAAACGUUAUUCGGAAUCACUGGGCUUAAAGGGUGCGUAGGCGGCCAUGUAAGUGAGGUGUGAAAUCCCUCGGCUCAACCGAGGAACUGCGCUUCAUACUGCAUGGCUUGAGGGAGACAGGGGUAAGCGGAACUGAUGGUGGAGCGGUGAAAUGCGUUGAUAUCAUCAGGAACACCGGUGGCGAAAGCGGCUUACUGGGUCUCUUCUGACGCUGAGGUACGAAAGCCAGGGGAGCAAACGGG